AAUCAAUACUUUGCCCAUUUCCCAAAAUGUAGGAGACUCCCCAGCUAAGUUUAUUUAUUAAUGAAAUAAACGAAGCAGGUAGUGUGCUACCUAUCUCUCACAAAAAAAAAAAACCUAUAGUAGAGGAUUAUUGCAUCAUAUUUUCAUGGAUAAACUUCAGUUACCACUCUUGUGAAAGUAUAAAACUACAUGAGUGGUAUUUGAAGUUUUUUCUAUUUUU
RNAcentral lists this long non-coding RNA (220 nucleotides) under Ananas comosus (pineapple). RNAcentral describes it as "long non-coding RNA (ACOM_LNC011484)". The record is from RNAcentral. Lineage: Eukaryota; Viridiplantae; Streptophyta; Magnoliopsida; Poales; Bromeliaceae.